RNAcentral lists this unclassified non-coding RNA (224 nucleotides) under uncultured Cantharellaceae. Its description in RNAcentral is "sequence contains ITS2". The record is from RNAcentral. Lineage: Eukaryota; Fungi; Basidiomycota; Agaricomycetes; Cantharellales; Hydnaceae.
GAUCUCUCAAAGGAUAGGUUUAUCCUAUCCUUUGGAUUUUGGGUCUUGCCGUGAAUAUUGCUUCUUGGCUUACCUUGAAACUAUUAGCAAGCUUUGUUUGGGUCAUGUUGAAUGAGGCGUUUUAAUGGAUUCCAAUUGACGGCUCUCAAUGUGAUGAAAGACUUGCUUCCAAUCAUCCCAUUGAAGGGAUAUUAUUGGCUCUCAAUAAUGAGUUCCAAAAUGGA